AAAGAUUUAGUUAAAUUCAUAACAUUAAUUUGUCAAAUUAAAAUUAUUAAUAAAUAAUAAUCUUUU
This 66-nucleotide transfer RNA is filed under the name Eucinetus haemorrhoidalis. Its description in RNAcentral is "tRNA-Asp". Lineage: Eukaryota; Metazoa; Arthropoda; Insecta; Coleoptera; Eucinetidae. The record is from RNAcentral.